Long non-coding RNA from Rhinopithecus roxellana (golden snub-nosed monkey), 552 nucleotides. RefSeq lists it as uncharacterized. The transcript has 3 exons. NCBI's taxonomy places the organism in Eukaryota, Metazoa, Chordata, Mammalia, Primates, Cercopithecidae. The record is from RefSeq and is a predicted model, not a curated record.
CACCCUUAUGAGGAACAUUCUCCCACGCACUUAUUUCGUAAAUGCAGGCAAAGGCAACAAGGCUGUUACCUGGGGAGGAUCUGUCCAGAAACCACAUUUUGCCACAAGCCUAGCAAAGGGUGGACCUGUAGUUGAUGGAUGAACCUGGAGGUUGACAGCAUUUCCGCAAGCCCAAUGCUUUAAGGAUUCCACUGUAGGGAACGGGUCUUCUGAAAGGCAGUAAAUCUGCAGAGAGGCAAACGUUCUAAGACUGCAUUCCAAUGACAGCAGCGGCAGCAGCAGCAGCAGCCACGAAGGCACCCGAAACUCCCAAAGAAAAUCCUUUUUUCUAACCAGAGGGAUGAAAAGGAAGGAGGGAAUCCUGCUCCUUUAUUUCUCUCUCUCUCUCUCUCUCUCCUCUUGCUGCUUUACUUAGAGCCACAUCCAGACACAAGAAAUGCACGACAGGCCUGGAAGGCAAACGCCUCACCUUUCUAGCCUGAGAAUCAAGAAAAGGGGUCCCAGGGAGCUGAGGAAUGUUGAAGAAGUCAUGAAGAGGAAGGAGUUUGAGAA